This 484-nucleotide ribosomal RNA is filed under the name uncultured bacterium. Its description in RNAcentral is "partial 16S ribosomal RNA". It matches the Rfam family "Bacterial small subunit ribosomal RNA", at positions 28 to 523 of the family's 1533-position model. The record is from RNAcentral.
GACGAACGCUGGCGGCGUGCUUAACACAUGCAAGUCGAACGAUGAUGCUGGAGCUUGCUCCAGUUGAUUAGUGGCGAACGGGUGAGUAACACGUGAGCAAUCUGCCCUUGACUCUGGGAUAACUGCGGGAAACUGUAGCUAAUACCGGAUACUCUCACCGGACGGCGUCUUCUAGUGAUGAAAGAAUUUCGGUCAGGGAUGAGCGCGCGGCCUAUCAGCUUGUUGGUAAGGUAACGGCUCACCAAGGCGACGACGGGUAACCGGCCUGAGAGGGUGACCGGUCACACUGGGACUGAGACACGGCCCAGACUCCUACGGGAGGCAGCAGUGGGGAAUAUUGCACAAUGGGCGCAAGCCUGAUGCAGCAACGCCGCGUGAGGGAUGAAGGCCUUCGGGUUGUAAACCUCUUUUAGCAGGGAAGAAGCGAAAGUGACGGUACCUGCAGAAAAAGCACCGGCUAACUACGUGCCAGCAGCCGCCGUAA